Pseudopipra pipra is the source of this 3684-nucleotide long non-coding RNA. RefSeq lists it as uncharacterized. The record is from RefSeq and is a predicted model, not a curated record. NCBI's taxonomy places the organism in Eukaryota, Metazoa, Chordata, Aves, Passeriformes, Pipridae. The transcript is spliced from 4 exons.
GCUGCAGUAGACGUGGAAUACAAAGGAAGAAAGUAAAAUAUGCAUUUGAUGUACAUGUGCAGAUGCCAAACACAUUAUCCACGCAAGGAGGACUCUGCCUUCUCCCAGGAACUGAGCACAGCACCUGAAAACCAACCCCUGCACCACCACCUCAGGAAGCUCUGAGCAGCUGAUGGAGGACAGCCAGUACAACACAGACCUGCUGGUGGCACAAAACUGAACAUCUUUUUAAGGGAAUUAACAGGGGCAGCAACUGGAGUGGGGCUCAGAAGUGAUGACAAUAGAAAAUUCUUCAGGGAAGAUAGUCUGACUCUGCAAAAAGUUACUGACAUAUGUAGGACAGGAGAAACAGCCCGAGAGCAAACACAAAUCCUGUCUGAAGAUCAUGUGGUGAAAUGUAUCAGAAGGAAUUACAGGAGAUGAAAAUGCAAAGGUAAAAUGUAAGGCAGAACCGUGUGUGCAGAGAAACCAACAGUGUCAGAAUUACAGGAGACCCUGGAAGGGUCAAACCCUGAUAUUCAGUCUGAAAUACUUUUGAAUUUAUAUGUGAGUCAAAUUUGAGUGAACGGACCAAAACCCACUGUGGAAGAUUUGAUUUUGAGAGAUUCACCAGCAGAAGGACUUUAUUCCUUGUUCCUGACAGGGAUGUGAGUGAAAGCUCCCAGCAGCAACCACUCCCUGCAAGUCCCUGUGAUCUGGGGCUGAAACACUGUCAGAAACCUUCCCAAACCUUCCAUUUCCCUGAGCAGGCCAAGCUGCCAAACUGUGCACCUGAAUCAGAUAUCACAGCAAUCCUACCACAAACUGCAGGCUUGUAAAUCAGUUAAAGCAGCUGGUAACCACUGCACUACCCUCACCAUCCUCCUCUGCUGAGGAGAUCUGGUGUUAAAUCAAACAAACCUCUGGUGUCCACCAAGGAGCUGCUCACUGGAAGCCACCCACCAGCAGAGCUGUAGCUCCCCCUGUCCUGCUUGGGGUCCUGCUAAGCUUCUGAAGGUUAUUUCCCUGAGUUGGAGUGCUUUUAUAUAAACUGUCUUUAAAGAGACUGGUCCAGGCUCUGAGAGCAGAACAGUAAUUAGAAGGAAAAUGAAUUGCAUCCUUGAGGUGUGACCCUGUUGAGCACCAUUUGGUCAGCAGCAGUUUUGGAUGCCAACAGCAUGAACAAGAAGUCAGCCCCACUGGCUGAAGAAUUAUUCCUGCAAGCUUGAAGUCUAGUUUUACCCAGGCAGUGCUAAGCAAUAAAAAGCUCCUGCUAUCAGUAUGCUGAUCACUCAUUUUAUAGAGGACACUAUCCAGCACUUCUCUGUAGAGCAAAUACAAGAAGCAUUUCCUAAUUCUGCCAACUAGUCACUGGCUGAUGGGAAUUUCUGCCAAGAAUUUGUAAAUGAUGUAAAGCAAGCUGAAGAAAAAAAACUUGCCCAAUAACACAAAAUAUGGCAUGAUAUGCACACAUCCUCUGCUUGGACAAAUAGGAAGGCACAGAAGGAAAAGCAAGUAAGUGAAAACCUUGCAAUGAACACAAAUGUGGCAAAGAGAAGCUUGCUGAGCUGAGCAACAUUAUCUCUCCAUGACAUCAGGCAAGAGCUGGAAGGUUCACCAUGUUUUUUGGUUGCAGGUGUUCAUCACCUGGCUGCAGGUGAUGGCAAACCAAAUGUGGUUUGGGGGCCUGUGGAGCUCAGGGCCUGUCCCCACCGUGCAGGGGAUCCACUUUAUCCAACAUGACCCAGGCAGGAGGAAUGGGAAAAAAAAACAAAGCCCAUCCCCAGAAGAAUGGGAAAAGAAAACAGGAGCUUCCCAGAGGUGUUUCCAACUCUGCUCUGCCAAAGGCAAACCAGUGUUCCAAACAUGGCAUGUACACCCAGUAACUGCUGUGGUCACCAAAGGGUGAGCAGCAUCUUUAUGCAUGGGCUGUCAUAUCAUCUUAUUCCAAUGCAUCCUACUCCAGGCAUCUUGUUUCUUAAAUAGUCCCUCUGGCCCCUCUGGAAGCCAUCCUGAGAUUGACUUUUCAAUAUUUUUUAACAGUAUUAGAAGGGACUUUUUGCCUCUGUGCACACAAAUGAUUGGAACUACCCUGUUUACCACUGUGACAGAUGUGUGCUAAUUAGAUAUUCUUUUAAAUGUCCAACCAAGUCCCAACUCCUUGGAAAAUCAGAGCCUUCACUGUGCUCCUUGAAAUGGCUCCUUCCUCUAAGAGAAGACUUCCCAAGCACACUGCAUCCCACCCCGAGGAAAUGGGGCUGCCAAAGGUGCAAACAAAUGAAUGCUGCUCAAGAAAGCCACGAUAAAACAAGCUUUGGAGGUGUAAUGAUUUCCAAGUAUGAAGUGAGACUGCAGGUUGUACUUUUUUACAACUAAGUAAAUGAAACAGGGCAGGGGAAACACGUCGGUGUCCUCCACACAAAUGAUCUUUGUGUUGUGUUACUGAAACCAAGAGAGCUGAAAAGGCAGUGGCUGCUCUUGCAGCAAGAUGCCUUGGAUGCUGCCUGGCUCCUUGGGAGCUCCAGGAUGAAGCACGGAGCAGCUACAGCAUCACUGGUGGGGAGUGAGUCCCUGCUCACCUGGGGGGAGCUCCAGCCUGGGUUCCCACAAGUGCUCCAGCAGCAGAAGCCAAGAACCAUGAGAAGGAUUAAAGACCUUCCAGGAGAAAUUCUGUGCUGGUCUAUCUCUCUGUACACCUGGCACUUGAUGGGCUUCACAAGAAAGCAAUGGAGGGAUCCUCACGGGGGGCUCCAGACCCUCUGAGAGCUCAAGGUCCCACCACAAGGAUAUGGAAGGAACUCUCAUCCCCUGGGUAGCCCUGGGAACUGAUCAGGAUCAACAAAUAUUAAGAGUAAAGCUGCACAAGUUGGGGAUAUGGACCACGUUCCUGAAUUAUUUGGGGUCAAAGCUCUCAAAGUGACCACAGCCCUGGCUUUCCAACAGUGGGAAAUUUCUCUCAGAAGUUUCUAACAGAAAUGGAUCUUCUGAAGGGAAGAGGAAGAAGAGUGAGAAGCUGAGAAUCCUUUGCCUUUCAUGUAGGAGAGACAGCACAGAGAAGACCCUGAAGGUGUUUGUAGGAAGAGGAGACCAAAGAGAACUGAUGCAGCAACAAACAAAAUCACAGGUAUAAUCAUCUGUUCAGCACUUAUAACAUGUGACAGUAUAGUGUCAAAAUUAGAAGCAGAUGAACUCCACUUGCCCAUGUUUGCCAUCAACCACAUCCCUGAAUAUAUUUUUUAAAUGUCACUGUUGUAAGAACAGAGCUGAAGUGAAGGUGGACAAGAGCUGGGAGAGUCAGGCAUCUCCAGUAUCUUUUAUUUGUUUCUGUUAAAGCAGAUUAAAGGGGGUAAACCCUCAAUUAUGAAUUCACCUGAUCAGUUUGAAUGGGAAGAGUAAACAGCAAAGACACCUUAAUCUGGAUAUUUGCUCACCAGUCACCUUCAGCAUCCCUCCCCUCUACUCGCUUCUGUCCACUGCGAAUACUCCACGUCAUGUUUUAUGUGAACUCUUCCCCCAUGUGCAAUUUUGACUUGAGAUAAUGCAAAUUCUUCUAAUUUCAUUUGGAACUAGUUCUUUCCUCAGCUUGGAAACCUAAAGCGUGGGUCCUUGUAACAUUAUCUUCAUGGUUGACAGCCCUUUUCUGCUCUCACCGCCCACUUGCUUCCUUUCAGUCACACAGAUCAUCAGUCUUCUAGUUUUUGGUGA